AACGAACGCUGGCGGCAUGCCUAACACAUGCAAGUCGAACAAGACCUUCGGGUCUAGUGGCGCACGGGUGCGUAACGCGUGGGAAUCUACCCCUGGGUUCGGAAUAACAGUUAGAAAUGACUGCUAAUACCGGAUGAUGACGUAAGUCCAAAGAUUUAUCGCCCAAGGAUGAGCCCGCGUAAGAUUAGCUUGUUGGUGGGGUAAUGGCCUACCAAGGCGACGAUCUUUAGCUGGUCUGAGAGGAUGAUCAGCCACACUGGGACUGAGACACGGCCCAGACUCCUACGGGAGGCAGCAGUGGGGAAUAUUGGACAAUGGGCGAAAGCCUGAUCCAGCAAUGCCGUGUGAGUGAUGAAGGCCUUAGGGUUGUAAAGCUCUUUUACCAGGGAUGAUAAUGACAGUACCUGGAGAAUAAGCUCCGGCUAACUCCGUGCCAGCCGCCGCUGUAA
Molecule: ribosomal RNA, 449 nt
Filed under: uncultured bacterium
Lineage: Bacteria
Description: partial 16S ribosomal RNA
Rfam family: Bacterial small subunit ribosomal RNA
Source: RNAcentral